UCAUGUGUCGCUCAGUUGGUAGAGCAUGGUGCUUUCAUCACCUGGGUCGUGGGUUCAAAUCCCACUGGGGGAC
Molecule: transfer RNA, 73 nt
Filed under: Salmo salar (Atlantic salmon)
Lineage: Eukaryota; Metazoa; Chordata; Actinopteri; Salmoniformes; Salmonidae
Rfam family: tRNA
About the family: Transfer RNA (tRNA) molecules are approximately 80 nucleotides in length. Their secondary structure includes four short double-helical elements and three loops (D, anti-codon, and T loops).
Source: Rfam by way of RNAcentral